Molecule: ribosomal RNA, 769 nt
Filed under: uncultured bacterium
Lineage: Bacteria
Description: bacterial SSU rRNA
Rfam family: Bacterial small subunit ribosomal RNA
Source: RNAcentral
CAGUCGAACGGUAGCAGGCCUUCGGGCGCUGACGAGUGGCGGACGGGUGAGUAACGCGUAGGAAUCUGCCUGUUAGUGGGGGACAACGUGGGGAAACCCACGCUAAUACCGCAUACGCCCUACGGGGGAAAGCGGGGGCUCUUCGGACCUCGCGCUAACAGAUGAGCCUGCGUUAGAUUAGCUAGUUGGUAGGGUAAAGGCCUACCAAGGCGACGAUCUAUAGCUGGUCUGAGAGGACGAUCAGCCACACUGGGACUGAGACACGGCCCAGACUCCUACGGGAGGCAGCAGUGGGGAAUAUUGGACAAUGGGCGCAAGCCUGAUCCAGCAAUACCGCGUGUGUGAAGAAGGCCCUAGGGUUGUAAAGCACUUUCAAUGGGGAGGAAAACCUGCCGGCCAAUACCCGGUAGCUUGACAUUACCUUUAGAAGAAGCACCGGCUAACUCCGUGCCAGCAGCCGCGGUAAUACGGAGGGUGCGAGCGUUAAUCGGAAUUACUGGGCGUAAAGCGUGCGUAGGCGGUUCGUUAAGUCAGAUGUGAAAGCCCUGGGCUCAACCUGGGAACUGCAUUUGAAACUGGCGAACUAGAGUUGAGUAGAGGGGAGUGGAAUUUCAGGUGUAGCGGUGAAAUGCGUAGAUAUCUGAAGGAACACCAGUGGCGAAGGCGACUCCCUGGACUCAAACUGACGCUGAGGUACGAAAGCGUGGGUAGCAAACAGGAUUAGAUACCCUGGUAGUCCACGCCGUAAACGAUGUCAACUAGCCGUUGG